Acanthaster planci (crown-of-thorns starfish) is the source of this 3105-nucleotide long non-coding RNA. NCBI's taxonomy places the organism in Eukaryota, Metazoa, Echinodermata, Asteroidea, Valvatida, Acanthasteridae. The record is from RefSeq and is a predicted model, not a curated record.
GUACAUGUUGCUCUUUGGUGCAAAGCCUGAAUAAGGAGCGCAUUGCACAGAGCGAUACUUUGUUUCCCUCACUGUUACCAUGUCAAAUUUUUGUCUGCCUAUGCUAAAGGCUUGAUGGGUGCUUGUAAAGCAAGAUAUAUAGAAAAACUAGAGGCAUGUAACCUGAAACAGGACCCGUAUCAGAUCGACGCAAAAAAGCUGGAGGCUUACCGGAAAUAAUUCCUGACGUGUAGUGGAACGACAUGUACAUCUACAUGAUUUCAACCCCGAGCCAGCACACAAAGGAAGACUUAAGAGCAUGGAAAUCCAUGACAGGAUCAGAUUGUUUUGUCAAGGCUAGAUGGGUCCACGAUAUGCGACUUCACACAAACCAAUCUGGGUCCGGGAAGACCAGAUAUGUGGUGAUUGGCAGGGUGAAACUCGGCUAGAGAAUGACAGCAACCCCUCUGGUUCCAUGGUUUGCUGCUGAGAAGUGCCGAGAAAUUAUAGCUGCACACUGUACACGCAUGGCCGGAUUGGGAGAAGCCUGUAGCCUUGUUGCUGCAUUAAUAUCAAGUGUUGUAAAAGCCAACCAGUUGAGGAAAGCUCCAGGAUCAGAUGCCUGUACUUCUCAGAAGUGUGCAUGGCUACCAGCAAAAAGAAAUGUAUGUGCUGCAGAAGUGAAACACAUCAAUUUUAGAAAGCCUUCAAGUACCUGCAAGAAACCUUGGACAGAAGCUGCUAUAGCACCCCCUACAUUAGAUGAACUGGCCGUAUUCCAUGCAUCUCUCCAGCAAGUAUCAGCUCGGCCAGUUGUUCAUUGUGUCAUGGAUGCAUAUGCCCAAGAAUUUAUUCCCCUCUCUGCUACUGACAUNGUACCCCAAGGCCCUCUCAUCUCUCUAUGACCCGGACAGUUUGGACCUGACUUACCCUCAACUAUUUCAGAAAUGUGCCACUGUCAGUGACUCAAUGAAGGUUCAGUUUUCUCCACCCAGCAGAACUCCUGCCACUUUUGAAAACUUGCCUCUUGUAAUUUCACUACAUGUUUGUCACAUGGGUAAAUGGCCUUCAAACCUAAAGAAUACAUCCAAAAAUCAAGAAUGGUCUUUCUGAAACAGUUUUAGCCUCCAUGAAUGGAGAAUGUAAGCCUUCAAUCAAUUUAAGCAAUAACAAUGAUUUGAACAGUUUUUCAGAAGUCAGACUUGCAUUUGCAAUGAGCAUUUGCAUUACAGCAAGCAUGCCCAACUGAGACUAGAUGACUCACUCAAGGUAUGGGGCUAAAUACAUGACCAGCAGUUCACAUCAGUUGUUUAAAUAAGUGUGCUGAUAGAAUGCCUCCAAGAAAAAUGGGAUAAUUUUUAGAGCUAAAAGUACUUUUUUUGAUUACCAGUUUUAGUCCCGUGAUAUGAUUGAAAUAUUUCUUCGAUGAAACGAUGAAUGUACACGUAGUAACAAAUGUAUUGAGCCAAAGUCUAUUUUCUGUUCAACACAGAUAACAACAGAGCGGUGUCAAGCUGUGGAAGAAGGAACUAAAGGUCAGGCUAACUGCAAGAUCUGGUUGGCCCAGAGGGAGCCCUACAGUUCCUAAGGAUAGAUGACAUCAGAGGCAUAAGGUCUAUUGUCUGCGCGUAUACCCCAGGCCUGGAGACCUAGACCAAACUCUAGACAACAGAUUCGUAUGCAAUAAAACAUGGGACUGGGAGCAACUCAACUCUUGUGCUUGCAUACCACAAUCGUCUGGCAUUAAUAUGCAUUCUGACUGUCAGUUACGUGUAUGGUAGUUUCAACAUCACUUCAAUUCACACUUUGCUCAACAAGCUCAAGCCAGUUUGAAAGAAGCACCUUUUUGCCAGAACAUAGUGUGGCGGGACAACUGAUGCUAGCCAACCUUGCGUAGCCAACACCCCGCUUGCGAUCGCGGUCAUUUUGGCCGCGUCUUCUACGCUGAGUUUGUCUAAAUCAGGGGGUUUAAUUUUUCAGCAGCUUUUUACCAAGCAUGGCGUAUCCCAUCGAAAUGACGCUGACAGCAACGCAGUGAUAUACUAUAUUGGCAAUUCGUUUGCAUCGAUUGCUUUACUCAUUUUUUUUUUUAUUAUAUAGCGAUUUUUAUUUUACUUCAUUGCUAAAUUUUCUGAUGCACUAGCUUUCGCUGGGACAGGCAGCGAUGGCGCUCGUAUUUGGUUUACAUCAGGCGUUUUCUUUAAAAAAAAAAACAAUGCGAGAGUGACUACCCCUAUCAACAAUCCGCCUAAAAUCAAGUUUCUGUGAUCCGCGUAUAUUUUAGUUUCUGAUUUUGUCUUGGCAGGCUCACGAGAUUUUAAUUCUAAAAGUUGUUGUUUCAUGCGCUUGUUAUGUUCUGCCACGCGUUUUCCUUGUUCGACUCGCCUGGGAUUUUUACUCUGGGUGACAGUCUGAACUUGUAUUUCGGUAGGAAGAGUCUUGAUCGGACUCGAUUGCAUGAUGGAUAUAAUCUAAUCUGUUUUCACGAUUUUGCGGCAUUACAUUUUGAUUUCUUUGCAUUUCUAAUUAGGUAAUUUUUUUAUUAUAAUGUAUAUUUUAUCAUUAUUAUCGGCGUCUUUCCUCUUUGAGGAGAGACGUCGAAUUUUAUUUCAAAACCGUCUUUCGUCUCCCACACGAAGCAAGUGCGAUGCCUUUGACGCUGCACGUCUUUUUUUGCUCGGACUAUGGCGUCUUCUUUCACCGGUGUAGAUUAAGUGUUUAAUUAACCGAGUGGCGUGCCCGCCGACUAGUUUUGCGCACUCAAAUUGGAUUGCAAAGGUGAGCGACAAGUUUAGGGAACCUGGUAAAGUCUGAGGAAUUGGGGAUUUUUAUGGAUUUUUUUGGAGAGUGGAGAUUUUUGUGAAUUUGUUAAAGUUUUGGCGGAUUUUUUGGAUUUUCUUUUUUUAUUUUUGGAGAGAGAAAUUUUUCAAUUCUUAGAAAAAUCACAGAAAUAUCCAUUCCUUACUACUCGCUGUCACUUCAAUUCACACGUAGGCAGUUAUUGCUGAGCUGCCCAUCCAGUGUAUAAAGACCAGUGGGCAUCACCCACAGGUAUAAGGGUGCACCCUCGUAAUUAGGCCAGAAAUAUGUCCGCCGAGCUCAUUAAUAAGAGUUACACACUCAAAA